CUCCCUGCUGUCACUGCCCUCCCAGAUAGUGAAAUUCAAUGAAGGCACAUUUUUAGAAAAAAAAAUAGAGGUGGGAAGUGAAGUGGGAGUGGGGUGGUGACACUGUCUUUGGAGCAGUUGAGCAGCACGAGGAAGAUCUUAAAAGGUAUCUGGAAGGACGGGUGAGAGGAAAGGUGUGGCCAAUGGAGACAGAGCCAGGAUCCUGCACAGGGAGGCACAAGGGAUGAGGAGCCCUGGGAAGGCAGGAGAGGGCCAGUUCCUUCAGGGGGACAACCCCUUUGACCAGGGUUGUGCCAGGAACUGCUAUAUCACUCUCUGUGCACUGCUGGGACCCAGGUACAUGUCUGCAGCUAUCUGGAUGCAGAGGGAGGAAGGCACAGAGUGGGACUCUGUGCACGUGGACCCUGUGGACACACUGUUCUCGCCAUGAUACUCCCCUCAACACCAUCCCACAGAGCUCCCCAGGCCCAGGUCUCCAACUGUGGGUUUGUACACACCUGGGCAGGGCCCUCCAGGGAGUGGCGAGGCUGCAGCUUUCCAGGAAGUGAGGAGUAACAGCCAGCGAUACCAGGAUGUGCAUGGGAACUUCAUCCCCUGAGCUCAACAUGGAGACCUCUCAGGCCUGAGCCCUCACUCACUUCCCUUUUGGGAGUGCCAAGACCCCCAUGCCUGUGAAAUCUUCAUAAAUGAAAGAAGAUAUUUGAGUGGAGACUCUUAGGUGAUUUCAUUAGUGAAUAUUUUGUGUUAUGGUUUGUGUAUGUUUAACGUGGUACUAGGGAUUCAACCCAGGGCCUUGUCUCGUGUGCUGAGCAAGAACUUUAUCACUGACUAUACUGCCAGUCCUUGUAUGGUGUUUUGUUAAUAACUCUAUGGAUUCAGAUGAUGACAAGUAAGAACGCAAAAAACUCCUUGUAUUUGAAAACUACAAAAACAAAACAAAACAAAAAAACUGGUGCUAAAAUCAAUACACUAAUGAAACAAAAUGUCCACACACAGACUCUAGAGAUCAAUAUGAAGAAUGUUUACUGGGAAUGAUUUGGGGACAAAGACCCCUGGAAGAAAGGGAAGGGGAAGGGAAGAUGCAAGACUGAGCAAAGGGGAGUCACCUGAGGUAGGGGCCCAACAAAAGCUCAGCAAACCCAAAGGUCACAUGGCCCUUCAAAAUUGUCCUGCUUUGAGGCAAAGUGGCUGGGCCUGUAUGCCUGUAGUGACCACUCCUUGGAUACAAUCUGACCCUGGAAGGAGGGGAGGCAGGACCCAGAUUUGGGGCUAUCUCCCACCCACACUCCAGCAGCUGGGUGGGUAAGUUCUUCAUUCCUGGAGGGGAAUCUGGGAGGCACCUCACAGGGUCCGCUCUGCAGAUCUUAGUGUAUAUGAAGAACUUGGUGUCUGUUUAAGUGUUGGUCAUGAAUCCGGGAAAUGAAAUCUACUUGAUAAGUGAUGCUGGAACCAUUGAUUGUAACCAUGGGGAACACACAUGGAUUAGAGUGUUAUCUUAUCCAACAUUAAUUUCAGAUAAAGAAUUGAAAGAAAAAGGAAACAAUAUACCUACUACUUAUCAGCUUGAAGGAGAGGGAAACAAAGGUAAACUUAGAGGCUGCCAAUAAAAUGCUUACUAGAUUUUAUUACCUAAAACAAAUAUUUUACAUUCAAAUUUUCACAAAAAUUGCAAGGCAAACAACAAAACUGAGAACAUGUUUGCAAUAAACACACCGAAAACAUUAAUGUCUAUUAAUUUAUAUUUUUCAGUUUUGUCAAAUCUGUUGAACUAUCUCUGCUACAAUAAAUAUAUUUUUUUAUUUCUAGCAUUUCUUUUCAGAUGCUCUUCAAUAGAUGAAUGGAUAAAGACAAUGUGGUACAUAUACACAAUGGAAUAUUACUUAGCUUUAAAGAAUAAUGAAAUUAUGGCAUUUGCAGGUAAAUGGAUGGAGCUGGAGAAUAUCAUGGUGAGCAAAAUAAUCCAAACUCCCAAAAACAAAGACUGAAUGUUUUCUCUGAUAAGUGGAUGCUGAUCCAUAAUGGUGGGGGGAGUGAAGAAUGAAGGAACUUUGGAUUGUGCAGAGGGGAAUGGAAAGAGGGGAGGAGCUAUGGAGACGGAAAGGAUGGUGGAAUGAGAUAGAAUUAUUAACCUAUAUACACGUAUGAUUACACUACUGGUGUGACUGUACCAUGUGCAGCCAGAGGAAUGAGAAGUUGUGCUCCAUUGGUGUACAAUGUGUCAAAAUGCAUUCUACUGUCAUGUAUAAUUAAUUAUAACAAAUUUAAAAAAACAACUGGAAAUAAAAAUAAAAAUCAUUUUUCUUGGUUCAUAGCUGUUACACAAACUGAAUAUGGUUUUUUAAAAAUGUUUUUUAGUUGUUGAUGGACCUUUAUUUUAUUUAUCUGUGUGUGGUGCUGAGAAUCAAAUCCAGUGCCUCACGCGUGCUAGGCAAGUGCACUACCACUGAGCCACAACCCCAGCCCCCUGAAUAUGUUUUUGCUCUGUUAAUUUCAUCUUAUAUUUUCCUUGUGAACUUUAUAACUGUUGCCUAUUAGUGUUUUGCAGAGGUACUGCUUCUAAUAAAACAACCUGAGUUAAUUUGAGAUAAUAAGCCAUCAUCUAUAGGACAGAUAGGAUGUAAUGCUGACUUACAGUACUAAUACUGACCCCAAUUAAAUGAAAGGAACAACUGUAAAAUUAUAGCUAUUGAAGUUAUAACCUGUUACUCCCACUUUAAGACUGGUGAUACUGGCCUUCUGGAUGUUUAGAACCAAAAACUUGGAGACCAAAGUCAAGGAAGUAAAAGGGCCAGGAAAAAGGAGCCAACAUUUUGGCUUUUGCCCUCUAAGGUCAGCCAGGAUGUAGAGAAUGACAGGACCCCUCUUUGGUCCCUGCAAGUCCAUUGAACCACCUAAUCUGCUGAUUAGGGAGAUUGAGAGGACCCUAGAGAACAGGAAGCCAACCAGGGUAUAUUCUGCAAAGAGGAGGGUCAUUGGAGAAGGAAAUGUACUUAAUGCUUCCAAGAGAAGGAAUGUAUGGUUAGCAAGACACUUACCCAUCCUGGCAGGUAGCACCAUGGGUAAGGGAAAGCUAAAGGAGACAAAAGUCUUCACAAAAGUCCCCAAGCUUUUGUUGAGGAAUCUCAGCUGACUGAGCUUAGGCUAUACUCUCCUGCCAGGUGUUUAGAGAGUAUAGCCUAAGCUAAGUUCUACAUGGAUAUUUAAAAGGAAAAACAAUGGAUUUUUAAAUGUAACUUAAGACAUACACUUGUGUCAGCCCUACCAAAAGUAAGUAAGCUGGAGGCUACAGAUGAAGGGUCCUUGUGUUGUUGUAGGGACAAACAGGCAAGGCACCGAAGAUAGCAGGAAACAGUUUUAUUUAGCUUCAGCCAGGUUCAGAGGGCACAGCUUUUGCUGUAAUCAAUCAAUCCCCUGAACCUUGAGUUCAGGUAGUUUCAGAAUUUUAUACCCAGCAUGUAAGGGGAGGGGCUCAGAAGUUCCCAGUAUGCAGAAGUUCACAUAAAAGCAGCUUUUUCUUUCACUGUUCUGGGCAAGUUAACCCUUCAAAGACAACACCUGAGAAGGGGAGAGCUUCUUCUCCCCUCUCUUUCCUCCCCCUGCCAGCUGUUACUAUGGAAUCCAAUUGGUAACUUCUCUUAUCAUAGAAAUGCAGACAUCUCAUUGAAGCUCCAGCUCAAGGCCAGAGGCCUUGUUCACACAUUUCUACAAAGUACUAUACUGGAUACAUUUGUGAAAAACUAGUAAGAGGGUGUCCAGUUCCUGGAGUACUGAUUUCUUCUCAGCCAGUGGUCAAGUAAAACAGGGCAACAUGAAAAUUGGAAGUUUAUCUGCAUUGAACUCUUUUGUAGAGACUCUUUUGCUGACAGUCCUAAAAUUAGCCAUGGUGAAGAUUUCUGGAGAAGCCCAGUUAAGACUUUUCUGUGGAGAAAGGGGGUGCCACUACAGUGUGAGAGUGCCUAAUAAUAAUGAUCACAAAGGACUCUAAAGUCAUAAGUUUGUCCUGAGUUAAUUUGAGCCUGAUCCUACAGACCUACAAAUCUUCCUAAUCUCAUACAUUGAUAAAAUUGAUCUGUUUUCCACUGAUAUGAUUAUGAGUUACUGUCCUCAUGAUUUUCAGAGAUUGGCUGAAAUACUGAUUGCUUUUGUGCUAAUUGUUUAUAUAUAAAAAAAAAAAAGUAAUGUCUUGUUAUCUUGUUUAUUGUUGUCUUAGCAUGAUCCCUACCCCAUGUAUGUCUUGUCCAAUCAUCUGCCAUCUGCCACUGUGGACUUCUGAAAUGCUCUGAUGCUGAAUACCCUUACCUGUCCACGUCCUACCUGAUGGAAAACAAGGACUUUGGUUACUGCCCCUAAUUUUGUCCUCUUUCAGCAGAAAGCAGCUUGGAGAUGUCAUCACCCAUUUUUUCCAUAGAAAUGGAAUAUAGAAAUUGGCAGUGGGGAAAUGUAACAGUGGUUCACUUUAUGAUUUGAAUAUAGCCCUUGCUUCUCUGCCACUGUAACUUAUUUUUUAAAUGUACAUGUUUCUUUCUCUUCCUCUCUCCCUGCUCUUCCCUAAUCUUUUAUUAUUAUAAUCUUUUAUUACGGAUU
Molecule: long non-coding RNA, 4584 nt
Organism: Marmota monax (woodchuck)
Lineage: Eukaryota; Metazoa; Chordata; Mammalia; Rodentia; Sciuridae
Exons: 4
Source: RefSeq, a predicted model, not a curated record